Lemur catta (Ring-tailed lemur) is the source of this 391-nucleotide long non-coding RNA. RefSeq lists it as uncharacterized. Lineage: Eukaryota; Metazoa; Chordata; Mammalia; Primates; Lemuridae. The transcript is spliced from 3 exons. The record is from RefSeq and is a predicted model, not a curated record.
GAAGGCUGUUGGUAAGAGCUGGUCAAACUGUGGGAAACAACUUUUGUUGUUGUUGUUACUUAAUUUAGUUUGGCUGUUUUUAAGUUAAAAGGAGUGGAAAUGUCAGUGUUAAUACAAGAAAAGUGGACCAGCCGACAGCUGCAACCUCCACGUCUUUCCCAUUCUGAUGAACCGGAUCCCCACAAGGAGGCUCUAAGGCUGGUCAGUCCAGAAGUACUGGAACAAGCUUCUGUGGGAGGAACACGCUGUUCACCUGUUCUGUCGCACCUGGAACCUGGACGAGCCCCCAGGAGGAGUGCACCCAGCAGAGACAUUAUACUUCCACUGAUGCAAAAUAAAGACACAUAGACUUUUAGCACUCCAUCCCAUUACUGACGGACAUUAAACUCAU